CUGAGGUCGUCGUAAGGCGGCCGGAUCGCGGCGCAGAAGUCAGCAGAGGGCGUAGUAGGCGGUAGCGUGCCGCUAAAGGCC
RNAcentral lists this non-coding RNA (81 nucleotides) under Candidatus Kentrum sp. SD. Lineage: Bacteria; Pseudomonadati; Pseudomonadota; Gammaproteobacteria. The record is from RNAcentral.